This 1282-nucleotide long non-coding RNA is filed under the name Phascolarctos cinereus (koala). RNAcentral's name for it is "lncRNA (ENSPCIG00000035303.1)". The record is from RNAcentral. Lineage: Eukaryota; Metazoa; Chordata; Mammalia; Diprotodontia; Phascolarctidae.
GCAAUUAGCUCAAAGCAAAGGCAUUUAUUGAAAUGGCAUUGUACAAGUUGGGGUGCUGUCUCCCACCAAUAUGCACAGCCUCAGUGGGAAGAAUGGGCUCAUGCAGUAGUAGAAAGGCACAGGGGCAAGGCACAUAGGUAACCAGGACAACUCACACAACAGGCCUGGGGGCUCUUUUUCUUAAUGGUGCCCCCACCAUGAAGGUAAGGUCUCAAUGUCUCUCCUGGUCCAGCUGUUCCACCGAAGAUGUCCUUCUUACUGUACUUGGGAAGAGGCCCAAGGGCAAAGGCACAAGUCGGGCCGGUAGGACCGGGAUGGGGGUGGUGCCCUGAGCAGUAAUUGGAAUGCUGGGAAGAGAGAGGGUUUGAAGGGAAAGAUAAGAGCGCCAGGCAGGGAAGAUCAGGGCUCAUGGAAGAGCCCAAGGACAAUUUGGGGCCGCUCCUGCCUCCCUGAAAUGAUCUUCCAUUGCCCUUUCUUGUUCAUACUGCGUGCCCACCUACGCAUGUGCAGUUUUCCUGCCUCCCUCCCUGGCCCUGACUCCUUGAGGACAGAGAGGCUUCAUCUUUGCCUUUGGAGCGCCUGGCACAAUGCCGGGCGGUCAGCCCCUCCACCUUCCUGAACCUCAGUGUCCUCACUGUAAAAUGAUGGCCUCUGAAGUCCCUUCCCACAUUAAAUUCACGAUUUUGGGGCCUUGGACGCUUAAGACACGCUUGCUGGUUGUCUGCAGGUAACCAGCUCUGUGGCCUUCUGCCCGCGGAGAUACUUCUGUAGCACUCGUGGCAGCCUUGGUUUCUUCUUAGUCUCCCCUUUUCCUACUCUCUGCCUGACAAACAGACAUACACACACACACACACACACACACACACACACACACACACACACACACAGAGGCACACACACACACAGAGGCACACAUUUGUUACAGGUGACCAGAAGAGGCUGUGCUUUCUUCCCGGGGGCCUCUAUGUCCUGUACUGACUCUACCUCCCUGCAGACGCCUCAGCCCUUGAAUCCAGAGACAGUUGGGGCUGGGCUGGAUUUUACCAAUUAUCUCCAGGAGAUGGUGAGCACCUCCCAGCCUCUCCUUUGGAGAAGGGCAAUCUGCUGCCAGGAGGACGGGCAAGGUCUGAGGCCACUGUCCCUCAGUCCCUCCGGUGACCUCCCAACUCUCUCUCUCCGCCUGGCUUUGCUUCAAACCCCACGUGAGGGCUGGCUCCAGAGCUCACCCCAGAGAAAACUGUGUCUCCUUCGCUCCGAGGGAAGGGAUGGACGUUCCGCUUGA